RNAcentral lists this transfer RNA (74 nucleotides) under Lachnospiraceae bacterium. Its description in RNAcentral is "tRNA-Arg". It matches the Rfam family "tRNA". From Rfam's summary of the family: Transfer RNA (tRNA) molecules are approximately 80 nucleotides in length. Lineage: Bacteria; Bacillati; Bacillota; Clostridia; Lachnospirales; Lachnospiraceae. The record is from RNAcentral. RNAcentral also lists the same sequence under 1 other name.
GCGUGCGUAGCUCAGCUGGAUAGAGCGUCUGGCUACGGACCAGAAGGUCGCGCGUUCGAAUCGUGUCGCACGCA